CAGUAGCCGCGGUAAUACGGGGGGGGCAAGUGUUAUUCGGAAUGACUGGGCGUAAAGGGCACGUAGGCGGUGAAAAGGGUGGAAAGUGAAAGUCGCCAAAACACUGGCGGGGUGCUUUCUUGACCAUUUCACUUGAGUGAGAUAGGGGAGAGUGGAAUUUCGUGUGGAGGGAUCAAAUCCUAAGAUAUACGAAGGAACGCCAACCGCGAAGGCAGCUCUCUGGGUCCCCACUGACGCUGGGGUGCGAAAGCAUGGGGAGCAAACAGGAUCAGAUACCCAGUAGUCCCUGUCUCUUAUACAA
This 301-nucleotide ribosomal RNA is filed under the name uncultured bacterium. RNAcentral describes it as "partial 16S ribosomal RNA". It matches the Rfam family "Bacterial small subunit ribosomal RNA", at positions 509 to 809 of the family's 1533-position model. The record is from RNAcentral.